RNAcentral lists this ribosomal RNA (402 nucleotides) under uncultured bacterium. Its description in RNAcentral is "bacterial SSU rRNA". It matches the Rfam family "Bacterial small subunit ribosomal RNA", at positions 355 to 774 of the family's 1533-position model. The record is from RNAcentral.
UGGGGAAUAUUGGACAAUGGGGGAAACCCUGAUCCAGCAAUGCCGCGUGAGUGAAGAAGGCCUUAGGGUUGUAAAGCUCUUUCGCCCGCGAAGAUAAUGACGGUAGCGGGAGAAGAAGCCCCGGCUAACUCCGUGCCAGCAGCCGCGGUAAUACGGAGGGGGCCAGCGUUGUUCGGAAUUACUGGGCGUAAAGCGUACGUAGGCGGAUGCACAAGUUGGGGGUGAAAUCCCGGGGCUUAACCUCGGAAUUGCCCUCAAAACUGCACGUCUUGAGACCGAGAGAGGUAAGGGGAAUUCCUAGUGUAGAGGUGAAAUUCGUAGAUAUUAGGAAGAACACCAGUGGCGAAGGCGCCUUACUGGCUCGGUACUGACGCUGAGGUACGAAAGCGUGGGGAGCAAACA